Long non-coding RNA from Mustela erminea (ermine), 11608 nucleotides. RefSeq lists it as uncharacterized. Lineage: Eukaryota; Metazoa; Chordata; Mammalia; Carnivora; Mustelidae. The transcript has 6 exons. The record is from RefSeq and is a predicted model, not a curated record.
CACUGGCCCAGCAGGUUAAAGACUCAACUCCGCACUCUGCUGGCUGGAAGGCCCCUCCCCAACUUUCUGGAGCCAGACAACAGCUGGCUAUCUCCAUGUGACUCUCUCAUGUGACUCUCUCUGCCUGUGCCACCUCCUACUUCCAUCCCCACAAGAGCUUUCUUGUCAGACCUCUUCAGCAUACCCAUGCCCUAGAUGGGAGAGAGGAGCCAUCUGGUAACAAAGCUCACAAGCCACUGCCUACUGCUGCUGUGGGGCCCAACCACAGGGCUCUGGCCUCACUCCUCCAGGACAGGCACAGGAGCUGGCUGAUCUGACCUCAAAAUCCAAAUGAUCUAGUUUCAGAUGCUAAAUGAUGAAGUGAGACUGAAGGAAAUUAUCCUCUAAGGCUGAGGAACCCAAAAUAUAAAUUCUAAUUUUGUUUCUCUUGCCUUCAUAGGAAGUCAACUCUGAGAGGGAAGCAGCCAUCCUUUCUCAGCAACUGGGCCAGAUGGAGAAUCACUUGUAAACAGUGUCCCAUAUACCCAGCACCUCCCCUACUGGAGACCAGCUACUUGGAGACCUAGGGCUGAGGGUGCUAAGGUGACCUGACAUAUUCAGGGCCUGGCCAGGGGCAGCAUGGCUAACUCCUGGAGCUAAAAUAUAGAUCUUCUAGGACCUAUCUGCUCAAUGACUAGACCAAAUACUGGGGACAAGCAUGUUGACAACUUGCUUCAAAGUCUAAAUUAGUAAAAAUUUGCCAAGAGACUUUACCCAGGCAGCCAUUCACUAUCUAUCAUACAUCCAGUUAUCCAUCUGUCUACCCACCCAUCCUUCCAUUCUCUUGCUAACCAGGCAGACACCUUCCUUCCACCAUUUAUCCUCCCAUCCAUCCGCAGCCCAACCUCCUUUUUCUUUCUUCCUCCUCCUCCCAGUGGCUAAACUUCCCUACCUAUCUGCAUGAGCAAGGCUCUGCCCUAAGGUGCUGUACCACAACUGAAAUUCGAGUCCCACAGACUAUCACAACCUCUCUGUCCCUAUGGCCCUUGCUGUAGGUCAGGCCUUCACCCCUUCCCUGGGUUAUUCCAUAGUCUCCUGACUGCUCCUCCAGUCUGUGUGCCCUUGAGCCGGGCCUGCACUUGGUCCCGAAGUGAGCUUUGAAUAGCUUAAACCUAAAACCUUGCCUGCUUCAAUUUCUACAGAGGCUCUCAUUGGCUCUCAAGCUAAAGUCUACUAUUCAUAUCACCAACCUCUACUCCUCACCCUUCCGGCCUCUCUUCAGACACACGGAAUAUUGAGCAAACAUUUAGCUUCCUGGCUGCUCCAACACUCCUUCCCCUCCCCACCCCUUGGUUCAUUCAUACAACUGUUCAAUGAGGUCCUUCUCUACACCCGGCCCUAAGGGCAAUAGGAAGAGCACGACAGACUUAGUCCCUCACCCCAAGGAGCCUACAGUCAGGUGGGACAUAAUAUGUUAAUCACAUAAUAGGUUGAUUACAACAGAGGAAGUUCAUGGGACUAAGUAACUAUGGCCUCAUUUAAUGGGAUCCAGAAGGCUGCCCUGAGGACAGAUCACCUCAGCUGAGACCUGGAGAGGAACAGACAAGAGGCAGGCACCUGAAGGGCUGCCUGAGACUUCUUAGCUGAGGAGGAGCCAGCAUGCAACCGAUAAGGGAGGAUUCCUCCUUGCUUCACUCCCAGCAGAUGACCAUGUUUCUCCAGGUAAACCAGGGCCUGGUGCACUGGGAACAGGAAGGUGAGCUGACACUCUGACUCACUUGAGAUCUCACGGGAGGCAGAGCCUCCUUCAGAGGCCGACCACCAGGUGGCAGCACUCCCCCAGCCUCCAAGUCACCAUCCUUCCAUCUAAGAGGUGGCCUCCUGGCCAAAAUUACAAGCAAGGCAGGCAGGGUGUGCAGUCAUUCCAGAAGGAAGAGUCCCAACCCCACUAUCUUCUGGGACUGAAGUGGGACUAGAGCCUGGGCAGGCAGUGCCACAACUGGGAGAACUCGUGGUAGGAAGGCCAAGAGCAGGGGACAAAACCCAGGCGGCUGGACUCUACUUUUAGAAGGCCAUGCCCGUGGGUCAGGAAGUCUGACUAUGCCAGAAAGUACAGCAAACACCCCUCAGCAACAUCUGCCAAGAACAUCUUCCUCACUUCUCAGCCCAACAAAAUGUGACUUGACCGUCAGAGCCCAAUCUAAGCAUCCAGGAAGCUUUACCUGAUGCCCCAAGCAGAUUCAGGGGGCUCUCAUGCUUAGUCUUUAUUGGGCAAGUCCCUCUGCCACUCGGAACACUGUGUCAUCCCCCUGUUCUGCCAGUUUCUCCUAAGGUAGCAACAAUACUGUGAUUCACUCACCCCUAUUCCCCACACGCCUUCCCUCAAGCAUCCACAACAUACCUUGUACAUAGUAGUUGCUCAGUAAAUGUUUGCUGACUUGAAAACAUCUGAAAUAAAGGGAGAUGCGGGUGCAAUAAAUGAUGUGGAAUCCUAGCCCAUGCAAAACCAUGGCCCACUCUGCCCUCAGUCUGCACAGCCACCAUACAGACACCCCUCCUGCCCGAGCGCCCCCACCACUGGCUCUUACCCUGAAUGCUGGACAUUCACACUUAGCCACUGCCCUUCAUCACGCCCGAGGCUUAGAGCCUCCUGCAAGUCAAGUCUGCCCUGUUCAUCUCUGAGCUAAAUGGAGUGGCCUUCGUUUUCUCUCAGGGACUCAAGUGGAAUCCCUGGGUCAUCUGCUUUGUCUUCAAUAAGAAACAGUGAAAAGAAAGGUGAAUAAAGAGCCCCAGCUUGGAGGAAACAGAUUUAGGUUCAAGUCCUGGCUGAGUGGCUUGAGUUUCUUCAUCUGGACAAUGGGGGGAGGGUAGGGAUAGCUACCCAGGACUGUGUGUAGAUCAGUGAUCCUGUAAGAAAAGCCCUAACACAUAAAUGCUCCCUAAAUGACAGAUAUUGUAAUUACCCUUAAAAUAGCCCUCUGGCUUGUCCUCAUUUCUCCAAAGGGAAGCAGCUGCAUCUGAUACUCUGUGAGGUUAAUUUUCAAAGUGAUGGGGUUGGUUGAAGCUGCUUUCUUAAACCAGUGGUCCUAAAGAACAUGUUACCAUGAGUUCUAGGCCACUGCAUGGUCAUUCUAACCAUCUCACCUUUGAUCAAAGGGACAAAGGUGAUUAAAAAAACAAAACAAAACAAAAAAAACUGGCACAACUUCAUUUUCGAUGUCCUCAGAGGUAACAAAUCUUUGAUUUCUGGAAACAGUCAAAGGUCAUCAGGUGAAGCUUGGUGAACAGCCGAGCUGGGUGACUGCUCAGGGGCAAAUCCUUGUGGCUUGCACCUCACUUCUCCAGUGAUAUCAUCACCAGGGUAACUACUUCAAAGAGAACCCAUGAAUUGGGAGCCCUCCGCAAAUCUCUGCAGCCCUACUCCUUAAGGAAGUUUCUAAAGAAAAGUGCAGAGACACAUGGCUGACAUGCCCCACUGCCCAGAGUGGGCUGGCAGUGGCCAUAGGCAUCCCCCAGUGCUGCUGCUUCCCUGAUUACCUGACGUGGGAGGAGUCACCAUCUGAGGACUUGAGGGUGGCUCUGACUCCAAACCAAGGGACCCUUGGCCCAGGGAGGGUGCUGCUCAUAUGAGACUGUGGGCACAGGGAUGCUGCUACUGGGCCUAAAGCCCUUGCUCUAGUGGCAGCACUCCAGAGCAGACACCCAAGCUGGCACGCCACCUGCCUCCAAAACCUGGGCCCUUGUGGGGAAAUUCUUUGGGCCCGAAGGACUUUGGUUAAAAGGGCUGAGAGGUCGGAGAGAAUCCAAGAUGGGGCCUCAAGCAGGGAUGGGACAGAGUACUGUCACCAGACCCAGGAACUUCUGUGUCUCUUCCCUCUCGGCACUUCUCUAGGAGACCAGACUGAACGAUGCAUGGCUCUGCUCCCGGACAACUUGGCCAGCCUCUGCACUCACACACUGGCCCAGUCAGCACUUUGGGGGCCCAGCCCCCUGAUUGCGCUGAAGAUGUAAACACAGAUGAGACCAGGCUCCUGCUUUCUGGGGGCCCAGACAGGGCAGUGGGUAAACGGGUCCUGCAAGGGCCACCCAUUCAGUGUAACAGAACACAGGGUGGAUGGGGGAAGGGCGGGCGUGUGCAAGGGAUGGAGCCAGAGAGAGAGUUGAGUCCUGAGAAGCUGCAGGGUCAGAUUCCAUGGGGCCUAGGAGGCUUAGUACCCAAGGAAGCUUGGGUACUACUAAAGAGCCACCAGGAGUCAAAGGAACUUUAAAGCAGGGGAAUCACAUAAAGGUGGUGGGUGUUUUACAGAAUUUCUAGUCCUAGUAGGGAAGAGGGCAUGAGCAAGAGGGGAAAGGUGACACCACGAUAGGGUGGGCCUGGGAAGGCAGCCGCCUUAUGCUUGGGGAGGAACUGGUCAGGAGAUGGAGGUCAAGCCACAAGGUCCCUUAGACUACCCAAUGCCCCCAGCUACAUCUCUGGUGGGAGGAGAGGUAUGUAUGAGCCUUAGUAAAAGACUUUUCCUGUACCUUCUGCAGUCACAGAAACUGGUGGAGAUGGAGGAACUACAAGAGUGAAGAGUGACGAGGCCCCGUGGAGUGUUAUGGGCCAAGGUCCCCACCGCCUGGGCCCCAUUGUGCUGCCAUGCGGACCAAAUGUGGGCUCCAGAGCCCUGUACCACGCCUGACAAGCAAGGAAAUCCCGCCUAACGACCAUGCAAAAAGAAUGUCCGGUUUUAGUUCAAUGCUUUCUCACUCUCCAAAGCAAUUCUGAAUGGUUCAUCUGCAAAGCUGUGAGGAACGGUCUUGUCAAAGCUGGAACCGGAUCACCAGGCAGCACAACAGAGAAGCCGCUGGGCAGCACCUUGGUCCAGUCCUCAGCCAAAGGCCAGCUUUGCUUCCCAUGACUCCAGAACCCAAAGGGAAGGUACACACCACGGGAUGGUUUUGCUCACAGCCAUCUUUGCUUUUUGUUAAGAAAAGCUAGAGGAUUUAUGGUUGCCACCGGAAUGAUUUUCCAUGGAUACUUCUUACCAUAUUUUCAUCUUUUUUCCCUCCGGAUCUGCUUUUAAAAUAAUUUUCACUAAGAUUUAACAGAUGCCCAAUUUCAACCUAAACAGGAGCUGGAGAAAAAUGUGGCAUGGUGCACACUGUUUUACGAUGUGAAAAGUCAUUUACAGAAGAAGUUUUGGGGCAGAUACUUUGUUUACAAAAAUUCCUCAUAGGUGCCAGAGAAGUCACUUGCCUUAAAAUUCUGGGAAGUAGCACCAGUUUGACCAAAAGAUGCACAUCAUAACAAGGCCCAGAAAAUAAACUGGAACUUCAAGCUGUUCUCCUAGUCUUCGCCAAUCACUGUUCUGAGAUCUAGCUGGGCUCCUCGCAUAAACAACAUGCAGAAGUUUGAUGCUAGAGCAAGAAAAGCCUGAAACCUCAAUCAUUCCUGAGUUGACAUGGUCCGAAAACAUUGUCUGUACCAUUCUCCUCCUGAAGCAACCACUGCAAACUGUUUGGGGUUCAAGUGCAGCCAGGGAAAGGGGACAAGAAGGGUGGAGUAACAUGGAGUGAAAACAAGGCCACUGAGGAGCCAAGGGUUGUUGAUUUUAACCAGGAAAUCAACUCACAUGAUCGUAGGAGCAAGCCCUAAGGAACACCCACCAAGAAACAGUCGUUAAGAACAAAGUUGUGUCAAAACAAAGUAAGAAAAACAAAAGGAAAAAAAAACAAACCUGGUUAAUUAAGCACCAAUGUUGCCUUUACUGCAGCUCGUGUGAUUAUCUGUUUACAAACCCAUCUCCCACAGCGAACCACCAGUUCCACAAAAGCAGAGACCACCCUUCACCUAUUCUAAAUCCAACUCUCCUUCAAUAAGAAAAAUUACAGCAUUUCUUACCAUCUCUGCUGCCAUCACCCUAAUCCAAGCCUCCAUCAUUACUCCCCUAUCGUUUCAGUGAUAAUACUAGCAUUUAGAGGGUACUUUUUCUGUGUGGGGGCAUUGCUUUAACUGCUUUGACAGAAUUCACUUAUAAACCCUCACAACUCAGAGAGCUCAGAGACCUCCUCCAUCACUGGUCUCCAUGGGCUGAUCCAUCACUUUGUCUCUCAUAAACAACAUGCGGAACAACAUCUCCCUUUCACAGAUGAAGACACUGGGUCUCAGAGGGACUAACUUCUAGGAGACACAGCUAGCCUGGCAGAAUUAGGAUGGCCCUCAACUGACUUAGUGUGUGGUCAUAAGGCGCUGCCUACAGCAGCCAGAGGAAGGUGAGCUUUUCAAAAUUUCAGACUCCUCCAAACUUUUCAAUGGUUUCCUCCCGCUGCUGGUAUAAAAUUGAAACCCCCAUUACACCCUGCAAUGCUCCCCUCCCCCUUUCUAUUCCUUAAUGGUACUUUGCUGUCCCUGGACCUUUGCAUUUGCUUUUCCCUCUUCCACAAACACCCUUACCCUACUUACAAUGCUGGUUUCUUUUCAACCUUCAGGUCUUAGCUUCAAAGUCACGUUUUACAGCAGACCCUGCCUGACCACCACCCCCGCCCCCUCCAUUACAUCACCAGAGCACUUAUCUCGACCUAAAAUCACUUUUGUCUUCUAUCUGGUGCCAACACACACACACCCCCCCCACCUGCAAAUACUCUGUGGGUUCUGGAGAUAGCCGUUUCUUGGAGUCCUCCGUGGCCCGGCGUCUGGCACACAGUAGGCGCUCAACGCAGAUACGUGAACCUGAUGAAUGCUGGAAGGAAGCCCCGCGCUCUGGCGGGUCCAUGCAGUCCAAGCCACGGGCUCCAGACCCAGUAUAUAUCCUACUGUGAGCUCCCAUCCUCCAGGCUGGUAGGAAAUGCAGUCUUAGCCUCCACUGGGCUCUUCUUACCCAGGUUAUUCCAAGGACUCAGGAUCUCCUGCAGCAGCAGUCUGAGAAGUCACGAGCCCUCUCUGGUGCUGAGGCCUCCGCCAUUGUCCCAAUCACAGGACUCCCAGGGUCGGGCUCUGAGGGGCCAUGCCUGCUGCCCCAAGAUUGCCAGGGACAGGGGCACGUGAGUGGCUCAGUCAGGCCUGAUAAACUCAAACUCGGUGUGGAAUAAAUAUCACUGCUACUCUGGCCUUAGAAAUACAAGAUGAUUUCUCUUGUUAAGAUGUCAAUCAAGAUGACUCUUUACCUGGAAUUGAAGGACCUUAGGGUCCAACAGAGAUGAUGACCCAGAAAUCAAGGUGGAGGAAGAAGCCAGGACCUGAGGAAUGCAGACAGCCUCGAGGCUGAAAAGGGCAAGGAAACAGAUUGUUCCCGAGAGCCUCCAGAAGGAGCAAGCCUGCUGACACCUUGACUUUAGCCCAGUAAGACCCACUUCAAGCUGCUGACGUCCAGAACUGUAAGAUAAAAAAUGUGUAUUAUUUUAAAAUAUGUGUUGUGGCAACAGCUUAUUGUAGCAAUAGGAAAUUAAUACAGUGGGUUUCAAAUAGGGUUAAAUACACAUACAAUGAAUUAAAACAGGUCUCAUUUGAAACAAAAGUCCAAGGGGCAGCUCAAAUUCCCUCCAUGCCUGUCUGCAUGAUUCCAAGCCAGGCUCUCUGAGAAAAGGACUCCCUCUGGUCAAAUUGCUUUUUAUUUAUUUAUUUAUUUAAUUUUAUUAAGCUCUACACCCAAUAUGGGGCUCAAACUCAUGACCUCAAGAUCAAGGGUAAAUGUCUACCAGUCAUGUACCCUUGGUCAAACUUGCUCUUUAAAAGCACAGGCAGUUUGAGCAUAGUCUUCCGGAGUCUGUCAACAUAGUGAGGUACCCAGUCCAGAACCUGACACCACCCAGGGCAUCACCUACUGAAGAAAGCAAGCAACACGUUGCCCACUCCCGUAGCAGAGAAACCUUCUCAAUAUGAAAAUAACAUCUGAUAGGUCUUUGGUGUAAGAUAUUUCCAGGGGUCCCUUUUGCAUUUAGGAUGAACUAAAAGACCACAACAUGGCUACCAAGGACUUGAAGAACAAGUUCCUGUCCACCUCUCCAGCCCUGUCCUCUCUGAGGAUUACGCAGCUCCUAGAACCUACAGCAUUUGCUGCCACCCCCAGGCCUUUCCCCACAGGGUUCCCUUUACUUGGAGUGUUGUCUUAGCUCCUCCUGCCCCUUUGGCCAAUUUCCAUGAAAAUGUGAGGCCCACUUUUCUGGAACAGAAGUCAGCCCCUGGGGCAGAACUUGUUCCUGUCCACAAUGGUUGCCCCACAAGGUCAGUCUGCCCAGGGUGGAAGAGACCAGGCUACAGGGAGAAAAGGCCCAAUUGUGGUUUUAAGGGCUUGCACACCCUUAAAGAUUAAAAAAUCCCCAUGCCCUGUGCCAAACCAGCCCAUCCUUCAUUAGAGCCAUUGUGCACCUGGGCCCCUCCAAGACCUGUCACUCAUCCCAGGGCAGGUCUAUAGUUUACCAGUUUCAAUCCCAGCUCUGCCAUCGCCAGCUGGGCAAACUCGUUCACCUCUGUGAGUCUCAAUUUGCUCCUUUGGUGAAAUGAAGGUAACUAGCUACAACACAAGUGUGAUGAGGACUGAAAUGGUGCUCGUACUACUAAAGCACAUGGAGUGUUCAGCUUGUAGUAGACAUCCAUACGUAUCAUCUAGACCUUGCUUAUCUUUCCAUCAGGAAGAUGAUGCUAUCCAUUUCAUCAACUAAUAAAAUUAAAUUUUAUUUGUCAAAUUAGCCCAGGUGGGAUGUGGCCAGCCAUCGCUCUCAUUCUCUGGGUCCACUUUGUCUGGGUCACAGUACACUUUCCAAUGAACCCUGGAUGAACCGGCCCCUCCACUUGGCUUCUGCCCAUGGCCACCAGAAUAUCUUGCCCCGGCAAGCUCAGUAGCCUCCAGACUGGUCUUAGUGCUUCCAUUGUGGGCUCCCAUUCCCCUCAGUCCAUUCUCCUCACAACUUGUGGCUGUCAAAAAAAGUUUUUCUUUUUAAAGCCAAACUGAUUAUUUUACUUCCUACUUACAACCAUCAUGACCCUGGGGAGCAAUAGUUCAAUAUACCAUGAAAUUAGAAUCAAACCCUUCUCCUCACAGUGGCCUCCAAGACCUCCCGUGCCCCCUGGCUCCGGGUAAUUCCUACAGCCUUAUGGGCCUCCCUUUCCUCAAAGGACCAGGCUGGAGGUCAUACUGAGGCCUUUUGCACUGAUGCUGUUUGCUACCUGGAUCAUCACUUCCUCUGGGCUAGUUUUCCCCGACCCUCAGAAGACACUGUUACUCCCAUAGCACCAUGGGACUCUGGUUUCCACUCUCAGUGGCUCCUGAUUGUGUACUGAUCUGAUUAGGGGCUGUCCCUCCAGACAGCCAGAGAGACCCCAAGGGGAGGAAUGAUGCUUAUCUAACUCCUUAGUACAGAGCUUGGAACACAGCAAGUGCUCAAUAAAUGUUUGCUGAAGGAAGGAAGGGAGGGCAGAAAGAUGGAAUAAAUGAAAAGAUAGUGCUUCCUAUAGGAGCUCUUUUGUGAAGCCUUUUAUAAAGUAAAUGAUACUUGUUGAAUUAUUUUUGGUGCAAAAAUUCUUUCCUAUCUUAUUAUCCCUUCAACGUAGUACAUCUAUUUUUUUUCCGUACGCCUUGUAAAGAUUUUUUUAAUUUGCUACACAAAGGACAUUUUCCUCCCAUUAAUUUUUUUAAAUGGUUUUUAUGACCACUUUGUGCUUUAAGAAGGAAAUACUGCUCGGUAUUCAGAAUAUUCUUUCAGCUUCUUUGGUGAGAAGAUUCUGGAAGCCUUCCCACUGUUGACUAUAACCAGUGCAGCUUGGAACACGAUGUCACCCCUCCAGAAUUCUCUCAGACCUAGAUAAAACUUAUUCUGUGUGUCUCGUUGGGGACAAGGUGUUUGGAAACAGUGCCUUAUGCAACAGAGCUGCUGCAGGGCAGUCCCUUGGAGGCAAAUGUAAUAAAAAUCAUGAUGUGUGAAAAAUGUGCCCACAGAGUCCGAGGAACUAAAGAUUUUAAAGCUUCUCUGCCAGUAAUUCAGUUUUUAUUUUAUGUUUCUUGGAAAACUGAAGGCUUGUGUCUACCACAUGUGUUACCUAAGACGCAGGGGGGGUGGGGGGCGGUAAAGGGUGUUUUGUGCUGGUGAAAAUAUCUAUGGCCACCUGGUCAAAGCAGUCCUCUUUGUAAAUGACCUCCUCUCCCUGGGGCCUGCACAUGCUCCCCAGGGAGGGGUAUUUUCAUCCUGCAUGAAAUUGCUCUUUGCUUGCUCACUUCUAUGGGCAAUGGUACAUGCUUGCAAAGCUGCUGACUGUGGUUACUUUAUUUCAGAAAUGUGCAGGCCUGAAACACCUGAAUUUUUCCUGGAAUACUUGAAAGCAAAUUAUGCGCCGGAACCUCUCAGGCCUGUUCCCAGCGGAAUUUCCUUUGAGUGCUCAUAUCUCAAAACCUUAUGUAACCUGACACAAUUAUCUGAAAAGGCUCGGAAUCCAAAAGAACAGUGUUCUGAGCUAGGAAUGAAGGUUGGAGCUGGGAAAGACGUGUCCUCCCCCUGCCCGGGGACUGGGUCAUACUUCACUGCGACAAUACCCAAUUCACAUUCCAAAGAAAAAUGCUAACCCUCUGACACUGUGACCAGGGGGAGGCUUUGCUUCAUCUCUCCAAGCAAGGAAUCACUUAACGAGGUGCUCGAGGGACAUUACAAAAGCCCUAGACCUGGCUGGUGAUUAAAAAUAUUUCGAUAACCACCAUGAGCAAGUGGUCUUCCCAGGAUGGAAGCCAGAAUGGCUUGGGCCCCUUUUGGGGAAUAUACCCCCCACCAACUCAAAAAUCAACCCAUUUGAAGAGGUGGUGUCUCACACCAGCAGUUAGCAGUACAAAUGGGAUAUAUACCGGGAGUCUGGAAACCUUAUUUUCACCCAGUGAUGGGUCCAGGUGAUUCUGACUCAAGCCCAGCCCAAGACUCCAUCUCCCCAGGCCAACCCCCAACUCCAGGGAGAAGUGGGGAAUGAGGACACAAACUCUAAGUGCAGACCUAAAAUCGGGGCUCCAUGAGGAGAUGACCCCGCAUUCCAGAAAGCCCCUGACCCAAGAAGCUUCCUCUGCCCUUUAUUUAGUUUCACUUUCAGAAAUCCCCAUCCUGCUCACCAUUUGCAUACCAGCGGUGAGAGACCUCCUAGGAGAACAGGCACCACUCAUAGGUGGUUGGCUUUUCAAGGAAUUUGCUGGAGAAAAUUGUAGGCAAGGCUGUGAACAAAACCCCCCUCCAUCUGGUUUCAGUUUAUUUAAAAAAACAACGCACACAGGCCUCCCCACCAGCAAUCAGAAAACAGCCACAGCUUCCCCAGGGGGGUAUUAGCCACCAAGGGUGGGGUGAAUUUUAUAUAUGUAAAUAAAGUAAAUCAGCUAGCCAACAGCAACUAAUUUUUGUAUCUUUUGCAGUUGUUCUGCCAAAAAAAAAAAAAGGCCUAAAUCAGCCGUGAUGGAAUUAUAAAGAAGCAAGUCUUGGAAUUUGUUUUAACAACUUGCCUUAAUUCUACCACUGGGUGACAUGUUUCUAGUCUAGAAGCAAAUUUUUAAAAAAGGUUGAUAGUCUUUCACCCAGGUAUUGCCAGCGCCCUAGGCUGAAGGCCAAGAGGCAGUGUGACCAGAUGGUUGGGAGCCUAGCAUCUGGAUAGCUGUGUGACCUACGGCACCCCAUAACCUCUCUGGGU